AUGCAGAUGCAGAGCUACUUGCAGAUGGCGGAGGAGCCAGAGAAGGAGCAUAAGAAGAUGCUCGACAAGCUCUCCCACCAAGCCGAUGAUAUGAAGGGAUCGUACAAGAAGUUAAUGACAUAGGUGCAGUCGUCUUCAUCUCGUGGUACUGUAGCGAUGGAUCAGAGACAUCUAUCUUCUGAAUAUUACUUCAUUUCAGUCGUCAAUUCAAGCUACUGUGAGUUAACGAUGGUUUGGUAUAUGAGUUGGUAUCACUUCUUCUGUUUCGAAAUAGACAUAUGA
This 282-nucleotide ribosomal RNA is filed under the name Triticum aestivum (bread wheat). Its description in RNAcentral is "partial small subunit ribosomal RNA". The record is from RNAcentral. Lineage: Eukaryota; Viridiplantae; Streptophyta; Magnoliopsida; Poales; Poaceae.